ACGCUCGACACCUACGGAGGCAGCAGUGGGGAAUAUUGCACAAUGGGGGAAACCCUGAUGCAGCGACGCCGCGUGGAGGAAGAAGGUCUUCGGAUUGUAAGCUCCUGUUGUUGGGGAAAAAGAGGAUGGUACCCAACAAGGAAGUGACGGCUAACUACGUGCCAACAGCCGCGGUAAUCUGAGCGGGCUGGCAAGGC
Molecule: ribosomal RNA, 197 nt
Filed under: uncultured bacterium
Lineage: Bacteria
Description: partial 16S ribosomal RNA
Rfam family: Bacterial small subunit ribosomal RNA
Source: RNAcentral